Molecule: unclassified non-coding RNA, 723 nt
Filed under: Hevea brasiliensis (rubber tree)
Lineage: Eukaryota; Viridiplantae; Streptophyta; Magnoliopsida; Malpighiales; Euphorbiaceae
Source: RNAcentral
CUGGGAUGCUCAUAUCAUACUCUAAAUACUCCCUCAAAACCCAUAUGUUUAGAAACUCAAAAUUCAGCCCCAAGAUGUAAUCAUCUAAAUUCUCAGCAAUCCUCCCCUUCUUUGCUAAAUUUGCAUUUCCUUUUUUCCAAGUUUGAUUUGCAUUUCCUUUCUUGGAUUUACCCUUUUUCCCUUUACUCAAAGAACUGACCUUUUCUCUUCUUCUGUAAACAUACUCUCUUAGAAUUGAGAAAUGGACUUCAUGUGCAGCCAAUGCAAGCAUGAUCAGAUCAGCAUCCAUUCCAUACAAGCAAUGCCGUGUAUUUGGAUUGUAUCCAGGCAAAUCUCUUUGCAAUCGGAUGUAAGACAAUACCUUGUGCUCCCCUUCACCAGGUACAUUGGCAUCAGAGAGAAUGACCUUUAUUCCCCGCCAGGCUGAAUCCCCAUUCAUCCUCAACCGUAUGUAAUACCUAAGUGCCGAUGACAAUAAAGCCAUGAACUCAGUUCCAGGUGUGAUUACAUUUGAGUCCAUCUUUUUUAGUUGCUCUGAAAGGGCAGGUUUUUCUUCAGAUUUUUCCAUUUUCAAGGCUUUCUCAGCUGCUUCUUUAGCAGCCAUGAAACGCCUUGAUCGUUGUUGAUUCAUCUUAGCUCGCGGAGCAACACCAUCGAUUGCCAAGUAUAAAAGCUUGCGAGGCCUAACUAUGGAGAAGAUCCUAUCAAUGUACUUGAAAAUGU